UUGCCCUAAUUUUGGUGUCUCUUCAGAUUUCAAGCCUAGAAGCCGUUUUCUUCUCUUCAUCCCGAGUUCCUCCAUCGCUUGCAUCUCAAUCUCUACGGCUCUUUGAAAUUUUGCCCUAAUUUUGCUCUCUUCAGCAUUUCAAGCCUAUAAGCCAUUUUCUUCUCUACCUAUAAGUCGUUUUCUUCUCUGCCUAAAAGUCGUUUUCUUCUCUGCCUAGAAGCCGUUUUCUUCUGUGCCUAGAAGCCAUUUUCUUCUCUGCCUAGAAGCCGUUUUUUCUCUUCCUCCCAAGUUUCUCCAUCGCUUGCAUCUCAAUCUCUGUAGUUUUUUAGAAUUUUGCCCUAAUUUUGGUCUCUCUUCAACAUUUCAAGCCUAGAAGUCGUUUUCUUCUCUUCCUCCUAAGCACCUCCAUCACUUGCAUCUCAAUCUCUGCGGCUCUUUCAUUUUUUCUCGCAUUCGUCUCUCUCGAAAAUUUGAAUAAGGUAUGGAUUUCAGUUGGGUCUCUCUUGUUGCAUAUUUGAGAUUAGUAGAUUGCCUAAAUCUUGACCUAAAUUUUCUUAGUCCAAAUCUCUAAACUGUGUUCAACUUGAUCUCCGGAGUUCAAGUUACUAUUCCCAUUCAAUAAUUGACUUCUUGGUUUGCUACUAUUAUUCGGAUGCUGAGAAAAUAAUGAGAAAAAGAAGGAAAAUUUUUGAACCAUAAUUUUUUCUUUAAGCCUUGAGAAUAUAGAAAAUGCAUUUUACUUGCAACUCAUGAUUCAUGGCUUAAUCGAUCUGAUUUUAUUUUUGUAAUUUUUUUUAGAUUUUUUUUUUCAUGCUAUUUGUAUAUUUUAAAUUCAAAAAAAUAUUUGUGAAAAAUUGUCAUAUAUAAUUGAAAAUAAUUUAUAAUUGUUUAAUUGGUUGCUAGAAAACCAGGAGAGGAUAUCUGAUUGUGCCAAAAAGAAAUCAUUGUAGUUCUAAUACUAAAGGCUUAUUGAGGUUUAAUAGCUCUUUGAUCCUUUUAUGUCCUUGUAUAUACAGUGGAACGACUAACAUUUGAAAAGUUUUUUAACCACCUAUUCAUUUCUCAAAAGCAACCAGAUGAAGCGUUAAGGUAAAGGAGAAAAAAAAUUUUACUCUUCUCGAUCUUGGCAUAUGAUAUUUUCAUUCUUUACUCAUGUUAAAAUCCUUCAUGGCAUGCAAUAGUAUGAGAUCCUUCUAUGUCCUUGUAUAUGCAGUGGAACGACUAACAUUUGAAGAGUUUUUUAACCACCUAUUCAUUUCUCAAAAGCAACCAGAUGAAGCAUUAAGCUAUUGCUUCCAAGCCAAGUCAUUCACAAUGCAAAUCAGGGAGUGCCCCUCUAACAUCUGCAAAUAUGAAGACCAAAUCAAGUGCACCAAUGCCAAUUGCUGGUGCAGGAAUCACUAACACAUGUUAUACUGGAAGCUUGGAAAGUCAUAGCUCGGAACCUUCUGGGACUUCACAAGGAUCCAUGGAUAUAGGAGAUGCUUUAGAGCAACCAUCAACUCACUGCAUGACAAGGAUUAAGUCAUUGCAGCAAUGUGCAUCUGUCAUCACUGAAUUGGUAAAUGAGAAGGUUCAAAAAAUGGGAUUAGUUGGGAGGUUAAUUGAUGUUGCAAGUUUUAAGAAUUAUGAAGAAUUAUGCUAGGAAAUUGAAUGCAUGUUUGGAGUUGAAGGUGUGCUCAACGACGAGAAAGGCUCAGGUUGGAAAAUGGUGUAUGUGGAUUAUGAGAAUGAUGUACUUCUUGUUGGGGAUGAUCCCUGGAAGGCCAUACUCCAAUAUUCUGUGUUGGUGUUUUGGAUUCUCUGGCAGUGGAAUUGAAGGUGACAAAGGAUUUCUCCAAGUUAUAUGCUGGCAUUGCAAUACUUGGGUAUAUUGCUUCCGUUCCAGAAUCCGUCAACACCCAAGCCUUUUCUCAUCUUCUCACUUUCCUGGGCCAUAGAUAUCCCAAGAUCCGGAAGGCUUUAGCUGAACAAGUUUACCUUGUCCUCUUGCAAAAUGGAGAGCUUGUGACAGAGGAUAAGAUGGAGAAAGUGCUUGAAAUUAUUUCCGAAACUUGCUGGGAAGGUGAUAUAGAAGAAGCAAAACAACGACGAUUAGAGUUGCAUGAUAUGGCUGGUCUAGAAACAGGGCUACUUCCCAAAAUUGGGAAUGGAGCAUCAAACAGGGAUGGUGAGAAGAGGCCAACAGCCAGUGAUGAGAAUGCAUCAUACUCUUCCUUAGUUGGGUCAACUAGGUUUUGAUUGACUUGAAUUAAACCAUCCUUCAUGUUUGUUGUACAUUUUCGUCACUUCUCUUCACCUUAGACAUCUACCUCUCUAGCUUUUCCUGCAUGUCGCACAAUUUGCGUGACAUAAGUCUUGUUUGGAUAGACUUAUUGGAAGCGCAAGGCAUUUUUUUUUUUUGUGUUAUACAAAAUAUUUUUAUGUGCCCGUUUUAGCUUCUGCUGUUCAAUAGAAGUUGGUGAAAGUUUGGAAGGGAAAGUUAUAUCACUUGAAAAA
Vitis vinifera (wine grape) is the source of this 2499-nucleotide RNA transcript. It is a transcript of the gene named tubulin-folding cofactor D, with no coding region annotated. NCBI's taxonomy places the organism in Eukaryota, Viridiplantae, Streptophyta, Magnoliopsida, Vitales, Vitaceae. The transcript has 5 exons. The record is from RefSeq and is a predicted model, not a curated record.